GGGUUGUGAGGUUAAGCGACUAAGCGUACACGGUGGAUGCCCUGGCAGUCAGAGGCGAUGAAGGACGUGCUAAUCUGCGAUAAGCGUCGGUAAGGUGAUAUGAACCGUUAUAACCGGCGAUUUCCGAAUGGGGAAACCCAGUGUGUUUCGACACACUAUCAUUAACUGAAUCCAUAGGUUAAUGAGGCGAACCGGGGGAACUGAAACAUCUAAGUACCCCGAGGAAAAGAAAUCAACCGAGAUUCCCCCAGUAGCGGCGAGCGAACGGGGAGGAGCCCAGAGCCUGAAUCAGUGUGUGUGUUAGUGGAAGCGUCUGGAAAGGCGCGCGAUACAGGGUGACAGCCCCGUACACAAAAAUGCACAUGCUGUGAGCUCGAUGAGUAGGGCGGGACACGUGGUAUCCUGUCUGAAUAUGGGGGGACCAUCCUCCAAGGCUAAAUACUCCUGACUGACCGAUAGUGAACCAGUACCGUGAGGGAAAGGCGAAAAGAACCCCGGUGAGGGGAGUGAAAAAGAACCUGAAACCGUGUACGUACAAGCAGUGGGAGCACGCUUAGGCGUGUGACUGCGUACCUUUUGUAUAAUGGGUCAGCGACUUAUAUUCUGUAGCAAGGUUAACCGAAUAGGGGAGCCGAAGGGAAACCGAGUCUUAACUGGGCGUUAAGUUGCAGGGUAUAGACCCGAAACCCGGUGAUCUAGCCAUGGGCAGGUUGAAGGUUGGGUAACACUAACUGGAGGACCGAACCGACUAAUGUUGAAAAAUUAGCGGAUGACUUGUGGCUGGGGGUGAAAGGCCAAUCAAACCGGGAGAUAGCUGGUUCUCCCCGAAAGCUAUUUAGGUAGCGCCUCGUGAAUUCAUCUCCGGGGGUAGAGCACUGUUUCGGCAAGGGGGUCAUCCCGACUUACCAACCCGAUGCAAACUGCGAAUACCGGAGAAUGUUAUCACGGGAGACACACGGCGGGUGCUAACGUCCGUCGUGAAGAGGGAAACAACCCAGACCGCCAGCUAAGGUCCCAAAGUCAUGGUUAAGUGGGAAACGAUGUGGGAAGGCCCAGACAGCCAGGAUGUUGGCUUAGAAGCAGCCAUCAUUUAAAGAAAGCGUAAUAGCUCACUGGUCGAGUCGGCCUGCGCGGAAGAUGUAACGGGGCUAAACCAUGCACCGAAGCUGCGGCAGCGACGCUGAUGCGUUGUUGGGUAGGGGAGCGUUCUGUAAGCCUGUGAAGGUGUGCUGUGAGGCAUGCUGGAGGUAUCAGAAGUGCGAAUGCUGACAUAAGUAACGAUAAAGCGGGUGAAAAGCCCGCUCGCCGGAAGACCAAGGGUUCCUGUCCAACGUUAAUCGGGGCAGGGUGAGUCGACCCCUAAGGCGAGGCCGAAAGGCGUAGUCGAUGGGAAACAGGUUAAUAUUCCUGUACUUGGUGUUACUGCGAAGGGGGGACGGAGAAGGCUAUGUUGGCCGGGCGACGGUUGUCCCGGUUUAAGCGUGUAGGCUGGUUUUCCAGGCAAAUCCGGAAAAUCAAGGCUGAGGCGUGAUGACGAGGCACUACGGUGCUGAAGCAACAAAUGCCCUGCUUCCAGGAAAAGCCUCUAAGCAUCAGGUAACAUCAAAUCGUACCCCAAACCGACACAGGUGGUCAGGUAGAGAAUACCAAGGCGCUUGAGAGAACUCGGGUGAAGGAACUAGGCAAAAUGGUGCCGUAACUUCGGGAGAAGGCACGCUGAUAUGUAGGUGAAGCGACUUGCUCGUGGAGCUGAAAUCAGUCGAAGAUACCAGCUGGCUGCAACUGUUUAUUAAAAACACAGCACUGUGCAAACACGAAAGUGGACGUAUACGGUGUGACGCCUGCCCGGUGCCGGAAGGUUAAUUGAUGGGGUUAGCGCAAGCGAAGCUCUUGAUCGAAGCCCCGGUAAACGGCGGCCGUAACUAUAACGGUCCUAAGGUAGCGAAAUUCCUUGUCGGGUAAGUUCCGACCUGCACGAAUGGCGUAAUGAUGGCCAGGCUGUCUCCACCCGAGACUCAGUGAAAUUGAACUCGCUGUGAAGAUGCAGUGUACCCGCGGCAAGACGGAAAGACCCCGUGAACCUUUACUAUAGCUUGACACUGAACAUUGAGCCUUGAUGUGUAGGAUAGGUGGGAGGCUUAGAAGUGUGGACGCCAGUCUGCAUGGAGCCGACCUUGAAAUACCACCCUUUAAUGUUUGAUGUUCUAACGUUGACCCGUAAUCCGGGUUGCGGACAGUGUCUGGUGGGUAGUUUGACUGGGGCGGUCUCCUCCUAAAGAGUAACGGAGGAGCACGAAGGUUGGCUAAUCCUGGUCGGACAUCAGGAGGUUAGUGCAAUGGCAUAAGCCAGCUUGACUGCGAGCGUGACGGCGCGAGCAGGUGCGAAAGCAGGUCAUAGUGAUCCGGUGGUUCUGAAUGGAAGGGCCAUCGCUCAACGGAUAAAAGGUACUCCGGGGAUAACAGGCUGAUACCGCCCAAGAGUUCAUAUCGACGGCGGUGUUUGGCACCUCGAUGUCGGCUCAUCACAUCCUGGGGCUGAAGUAGGUCCCAAGGGUAUGGCUGUUCGCCAUUUAAAGUGGUACGCGAGCUGGGUUUAGAACGUCGUGAGACAGUUCGGUCCCUAUCUGCCGUGGGCGCUGGAGAACUGAGGGGGGCUGCUCCUAGUACGAGAGGACCGGAGUGGACGCAUCACUGGUGUUCGGGUUGUCAUGCCAAUGGCACUGCCCGGUAGCUAAAUGCGGAAGAGAUAAGUGCUGAAAGCAUCUAAGCACGAAACUUGCCCCGAGAUGAGUUCUCCCUGACUCCUUGAGAGUCCUGAAGGAACGUUGAAGACGACGACGUUGAUAGGCCGGGUGUGUAAGCGCAGCGAUGCGUUGAGCUAACCGGUACUAAUGAACCGUGAGGCUUAACCUUACAACGCCGAAGGUGUUU
RNAcentral lists this ribosomal RNA (2931 nucleotides) under Escherichia coli. Its description in RNAcentral is "23S ribosomal RNA". It matches the Rfam family "Bacterial large subunit ribosomal RNA". The record is from RNAcentral. Lineage: Bacteria; Pseudomonadati; Pseudomonadota; Gammaproteobacteria; Enterobacterales; Enterobacteriaceae.